This 568-nucleotide long non-coding RNA is filed under the name Mytilus galloprovincialis (Mediterranean mussel). The record is from RNAcentral. Lineage: Eukaryota; Metazoa; Mollusca; Bivalvia; Mytilida; Mytilidae.
GAUUUAGUGCACAUUUUAAAUAUAUACAGCGUGUGCCUCUGUUAAUGUUUUUAUACUCCAAUAAAAUUAUAAAAAGAAGCAUACAAUUCUUAUAAAAGUUACUCAACACUAUAUUUUUGGACAUACAUAAUACACUAGGCGAGGUGUUUAUUUAACAAUGUUAACGUAUGAAAAGAAAACCAGUCUAAAAGAGGGACGAAGGAUACCAGAGGGAGAGUCCAACUCAUAGAUAGAAAAUAAACUGACAACGCCAUGGCUAAAAAUAAAAAGACAAACAGACAAAUAAUAUUACAGAAGACACAACAUAGAAAACUAAAGACGAAGUAACACGAACCCCACCAAAAAUAUAUUCCCGGUACUGAAGCCUUCAGUAUGUAGAAAAUCCUGAUGAUUAACAAUAUAAUAUAACCAACUAUAAGUACUCUGUAUUAAGUGUUCCAUGAAUGUGAUGCAUCUAAGUUAUUUUGAAAAACAGUAUCUAUAAUUUUUAAUUGACGAAUCAAGUGGGUACUAAAUAACAAUAUAACCACUUUCCCUUCAACUUCCAAGUACUUCCACGUACCAAGCC